This is a long non-coding RNA of Sander lucioperca (pikeperch), 174 nucleotides long. RefSeq lists it as uncharacterized. The transcript has 2 exons. Lineage: Eukaryota; Metazoa; Chordata; Actinopteri; Perciformes; Percidae. The record is from RefSeq and is a predicted model, not a curated record.
CCUUCCUAAAAUAAUGGCCUAAGUCAUUUUUUCAGUUUUUUCAAAAAACACAAAAAACUAAACGGCCUAAGUCACAUGCUUGACAUAGGCAAUUAUACUCAAGCUGUAGAAUCACAAGACCUGUUCAACUGAGGAUGUAGGCAAUUUUACCAGAGGUGGCCAGCACCAUGGAGG